AUUGAACGCUGGCGGCAGGCCUAACACAUGCAAGUCGAACGGUAACAGGAAGAAGCUUGCUUCUUUGCUGACGAGUGGCGGACGGGUGAGUAAUGUCUGGGAAACUGCCUGAUGGAGGGGGAUAACUACUGGAAACGGUAGCUAAUACCGCAUAACGUCGCAAGACCAAAGAGGGGGACCUUCGGGCCUCUUGCCAUCGGAUGUGCCCAGAUGGGAUUAGCUAGUAGGUGGGGUAACGGCUCACCUAGGCGACGAUCCCUAGCUGGUCUGAGAGGAUGACCAGCCACACUGGAACUGAGACACGGUCCAGACUCCUACGGGAGGCAGCAGUGGGGAAUAUUGCACAAUGGGCGCAAGCCUGAUGCAGCCAUGCCGCGUGUAUGAAGAAGGCCUUCGGGUUGUAAAGUACUUUCAGCGGGGAGGAAGAGAGUAAAGUUAAUACCUUUGCUCAUUGACGUUACCCGCAGAAGAAGCACCGGCUAACUCCGUG
This 490-nucleotide ribosomal RNA is filed under the name uncultured bacterium. Its description in RNAcentral is "partial 16S ribosomal RNA". It matches the Rfam family "Bacterial small subunit ribosomal RNA", at positions 30 to 507 of the family's 1533-position model. The record is from RNAcentral.